Molecule: long non-coding RNA, 2090 nt
Organism: Herpailurus yagouaroundi (jaguarundi)
Lineage: Eukaryota; Metazoa; Chordata; Mammalia; Carnivora; Felidae
Exons: 9
Source: RefSeq, a predicted model, not a curated record
GCGAGCUGGGGGCGGGGCCAGCGCGUGGCGUCAGCGCGCAGCACGUACCCUCCCGCCCUGGAGCCCAGGGCUCGGGGGUGACUUGCAGGUCUACUUCCGCGAGGUUUUGGGGAAGUGCAGUUCUGCUCGCUUACACAAUUUUCCCCACCCAUUAUUGUAAACGUAGUUUCCCGUCGUCGAGCCACAGACUUGUCUUCUAAUUUGUACUCUUUAAAAAACCUCCUUGGUGUGAUCUCUCCGGGACAGGAGCUUGGGAGGCAGUCCCGAAGGACUCCCGGUUUUCAUUGGUUCCUGAUGUUGUCGUUAAUAGGACUCUGUGGUCUCUGAUUGGCUCCUUAAAGCGAGGCUGCAAAUUUCCUCCACUGAUCGGCUCACGCUCCGCUCGGCGGGCAACGCGCGCUCCGACCCAUGAUUAUCCCGUUUCACCUAAUCCGAGGUUUACCCUCCGGAGUAGUGGUGACCCGCACGGUUUCGCGUUACGAGCAUACAGCCUUGCUGGCCUCUAUCCCUGGUGGUCUCACAGCUAUCAUCAGCCUUGACCGCCUCGCUGCCCGUCCCCCUCCAUGGGUCUUUUCUUGAAACACUGGCAAGUCACCUGUAGAUUGCUGUGUACGUGGUAAUUCCACUCUCGCUGUGGGUGCUCCCAAAGGGAGUACGACCGAGGUCUCUGGCCCAAGAAAGUUAAUCAAGACCUGGCAGCCCUCCUACACAGGUGCUGUCUUUUUCUCCUCCUCAUGGAGAGUCCCGUGAACCAACAGGUUGGAAGCCCCCGUGUAUUCGAUAGAAAUAUACAUUUUUUUUUUAGUGUUUCAUUGGACAUGCCUUUUAAAGCUGGAGAACUACAUGAAAACCCCGAAGGACUGGAACUCACUACUCCCAGAUCAAGAGUCACACGCUCCAUGGACUGAGCCAGCCAGGCGCCCCCCAGUGGCUACUCUUAACAAAAAACCAUUAACCCACCAACUACAGGAGACAGUCUCAAAUGAUCAUCAUUGAAGGAUCUAAGCCCCCUUGAGUAUUCAGACACCGACCAACUAAAGCCGGAGAAUUGACAAUAUUGACCGUUGCUGGCCUUCAUGACUUUGACCUGAACUCUGUCCCCUUAAAACGACUUUUGCCCCAAUUCCAUGCUGGAUUCCCCAUUGGGCAAGCUGAUUCAUGAACAGAUUGGAGCUGGAGCAGAGAAGGAGCCUGGAUGACAUGCCUGCGAGAGACCACCCGUCUCAGGGCCCCUGGAUGUGGUUCCUCAAGCAAAGAUUCCUUGGGCGUCAUGGACCAUCUGCCUCCUCCUAUGGAUGUCUUCAGCAUCAUCUCUCUCCCUCUCCCGCAGCAAGAGGGCUUGAUCAAGAUGGCUGGACUACAUCUGCUUUGAGGAUCAAGCAGGAGACAGAUAAGCUGCCAGUUCCCCAAAUGCAGAGUUGUACACUUUACGUCUUGAGAAUCAGACCUCCCACUGGCGGGAGCGCUUGCCCUUAACUGAUACGUCAAGGAAUCAAACCAGGUUAUUUUUGUUCAUGAGAUGGUGAAAUACACUGAAAGUAGUGAGGGGGGAAAGGCGUGAGAGAGAAAACGCCCGCUGCUUCCACUGGGAUCCUUGCUGGCUGUUCCUGAGUUUUCCAUGGAAAGCACUUGGAUACUCAGAACAAAGGGUUCUGAUGUCACACACUCCUGACCAUAGAGGCAUCAGCCACUGAGAGGACAAGCCAGACGGGUGAUCUCUGGACCCACGGCUUCUGGCUCACUCUCCUGGCUCUGGGAAGAAGAUACUUGCUGGUGCAUGGGGCAUGUUGAAAUACCAGGGAAAUUAACCCCUGGGAGCAGCACUCAACCGAUGAUACAUAGAAACUGGCGGGUAGAAGUUCAGCUCUCUCACCCCUUGGGAGGAGUAACUCUAAGUGGGAUUUUGAAAUUGAAGAUGGGAUUAUUUUCACCUGUGGAUCAACUUGGUGUAGAACAAAGAUGGCAUGUAGAGAAGCAGGAAUCCAGAGGCUGAGGUGAGCAUCCAUUCAUUUAUUCAUCCAUCUGUCCAUCCAUCCAUCCAUCCAUCUAUCCAUCCAUCAUCAUCCAUCAUCCAUCAUCCAUCCAUCCGU